GGGCCGGUGAUCUAGUUGGCUAUGAUGCCGCCUUCACACGGCGGAUAUCGAGAGUUCGAACAGGUGGGGAUGCGUCCCCCUUGGAACAGGUCUCUCCCGGCCCACCA
This 107-nucleotide transfer RNA is filed under the name Candidatus Thorarchaeota archaeon. RNAcentral describes it as "tRNA-Val". Lineage: Archaea; Promethearchaeati; Candidatus Thorarchaeota. The record is from RNAcentral.